RNAcentral lists this ribosomal RNA (415 nucleotides) under uncultured Sphingomonas sp. RNAcentral describes it as "bacterial SSU rRNA". It matches the Rfam family "Bacterial small subunit ribosomal RNA", at positions 358 to 790 of the family's 1533-position model. The record is from RNAcentral. Lineage: Bacteria; Pseudomonadati; Pseudomonadota; Alphaproteobacteria; Sphingomonadales; Sphingomonadaceae.
GGAAUAUUGGACAAUGGGCGAAAGCCUGAUCCAGCAAUGCCGCGUGAGUGAUGAAGGCCUUAGGGUUGUAAAGCUCUUUUACCCGGGAUGAUAAUGACAGUACCGGGAGAAUAAGCUCCGGCUAACUCCGUGCCAGCAGCCGCGGUAAUACGGAGGGAGCUAGCGUUAUUCGGAAUUACUGGGCGUAAAGCGCACGUAGGCGGCUUUGUAAGUAAGAGGUGAAAGCCCAGAGCUCAACUCUGGAAUUGCCUUUUAGACUGCAUCGCUUGAAUCAUGGAGAGGUCAGUGGAAUUCCGAGUGUAGAGGUGAAAUUCGUAGAUAUUCGGAAGAACACCAGUGGCGAAGGCGGCUGACUGGACAUGUAUUGACGCUGAGGUGCGAAAGCGUGGGGAGCAAACAGGAUUAGAUACCCUAG